AUGGCCAUGGUCGAGAUGCAGCCACCAAGACCCAAAUCCCGCAAGCCAUCACAGACGCCAAUCACCGAUCUCUUGGAGGAAUUUGCUGAUGUUUUUGACGCACCCAAUGGUCUGCCUCCUCACCGCCAAUAUGAUCACGCAGUUACCUUGGAAGACGGAGCGCAGCCAACCAACACAAGGCCAUACUGCUACUCUCCUCUGCAGAAAGACGAGAUAGAGCGGCAAGUGAAGGAGAUGCUCGACGCCGGAGUGAUCACGCACUUUGUCAGUCCGUAUGCGGCGCCGGUGCUGCUUGUGAAGAAGAAGGAUGGCACUUGA
RNAcentral lists this ribosomal RNA (318 nucleotides) under Triticum aestivum (bread wheat). RNAcentral describes it as "partial small subunit ribosomal RNA". Lineage: Eukaryota; Viridiplantae; Streptophyta; Magnoliopsida; Poales; Poaceae. The record is from RNAcentral.